Molecule: ribosomal RNA, 465 nt
Filed under: Vreelandella stevensii
Lineage: Bacteria; Pseudomonadati; Pseudomonadota; Gammaproteobacteria; Oceanospirillales; Halomonadaceae
Description: partial 16S ribosomal RNA
Rfam family: Bacterial small subunit ribosomal RNA
Source: RNAcentral
CCUACGGGUGGCAGCAGUGGGGAAUAUUGGACAAUGGGCGAAAGCCUGAUCCAGCCAUGCCGCGUGUGUGAAGAAGGCCUUCGGGUUGUAAAGCACUUUCAGUGGGGAAGAAAGCCUUGGGGCUAAUACCCUCGAGGAAGGACAUCACCCACAGAAGAAGCACCGGCUAACUCCGUGCCAGCAGCCGCGGUAAUACGGAGGGUGCGAGCGUUAAUCGGAAUUACUGGGCGUAAAGCGCGCGUAGGCGGUCUGAUAAGCCGGUUGUGAAAGCCCCGGGCUCAACCUGGGAACGGCAUCCGGAACUGUCAGGCUAGAGUGCAGGAGAGGAAGGUAGAAUUCCCGGUGUAGCGGUGAAAUGCGUAGAGAUCGGGAGGAAUACCAGUGGCGAAGGCGGCCUUCUGGACUGACACUGACGCUGAGGUGCGAAAGCGUGGAUAGCAAACAGGAUUAGAUACCCGGGUAGUC